This 475-nucleotide long non-coding RNA is filed under the name Volvox carteri. RNAcentral's name for it is "long non-coding RNA (VCAR_LNC001152)". Lineage: Eukaryota; Viridiplantae; Chlorophyta; Chlorophyceae; Chlamydomonadales; Volvocaceae. The record is from RNAcentral.
UAAACCUCUCGUGUUGAGCAGCUCGCUCAAACGCAUCUGGGUUCUCAGCGUCUUCGACAGUGACGCACUGACGUCGGCCUGAAGCAUUGGUAUCAAGUUAAGAUGUACUUAAGGCUGCCUCGUCUGGAUGUUCCUGUAUAGCAUUCCGCAUUGUUUUAGGGUUUGCCUGUUUUUCUUUAGGAAAAGCACCUCCGCGCGCCUGACAAUACGGGUCGCGCAUACGGGUAGACAACUCAGGAACAAACGCUGAUGGUGUCUUAUCUCAUCCAGGACUUCUGGUACGGGAUGUAAGCGACGUAACAUAUCGGGAAGCUGGGGGUUUGGCAGGGCCUUCCAGCUUUCACGGAUUGGACCUGAAAUGGGCCUGCCACAACUAAUGGCCAAACAAACAGGAAUUGGCGGUUGUUAGGCAAUGAUGCAAAGGCCGUCGCUGCAGCGGUGGUUGCUUUUUUAGCUGUUUGUGCUUUUCUACCAG